GACGAACGCUGGCGGCGUGCUUAACACAUGCAAGUCGAACGGAAAGGCCCUGCUUUUGUGGGGUGCUCGAGUGGCGAACGGGUGAGUAACACGUGAGUAACCUGCCCUUGACUUUGGGAUAACUUUAGGAAACUGGGGCUAAUACCGGAUAGGAGCUCCUGCUGCAUGGUGGGGGUUGGAAAGUUUCGGCGGUUGGGGAUGGACUCGCGGCUUAUCAGCUUGUUGGUGGGGUAGUGGCUUACCAAGGCUUUGACGGGUAGCCGGCCUGAGAGGGGGACCGGCGACAUGGGGACUAAGAUACGGCGCAGACUCCUACGGGAGGCAGCAGUGGGGAAUAUUGCACAAUGGGCGGAAGCCUGAUGCAGCAACGCCGCGUGCGGGAUGACGGCCUACGGGGGGUAAACCGCUUUCGCCGGUGACGAAGCGGGAGUGACGGUAAUGAGUAAAGAAGCACCGGCUAACUACGUG
This 468-nucleotide ribosomal RNA is filed under the name uncultured bacterium. Its description in RNAcentral is "partial 16S ribosomal RNA". It matches the Rfam family "Bacterial small subunit ribosomal RNA", at positions 28 to 507 of the family's 1533-position model. The record is from RNAcentral.